This 301-nucleotide ribosomal RNA is filed under the name uncultured bacterium. RNAcentral describes it as "partial 16S ribosomal RNA". It matches the Rfam family "Bacterial small subunit ribosomal RNA", at positions 509 to 808 of the family's 1533-position model. The record is from RNAcentral.
CAGUAGCCGCGGGAAUACGUAGGGUGCAAGCGUUAAUCGGAAUUACUGGGCGUAAAGCGUGCGCAGGCGGUUUGUUAAGACAGAUGUGAAAUCCUCGGGCUCAACCUGGGAACUGCAUUUGUGACUGGCAAGCUAGAGUGUGGCAGAGGGGGGUGGAAUUCCGCGUGUAGCAGUGAAAUGCGUAGAUAUGCGGAGGAACACCGAUGGCGAAGGCAGCCCCCUGGCCAACACUGACGCUCAUGCACGAAAGCGUGGGGAGCAAACAGGAUUAGAUACCCCAGUAGUCCCUGUCUCUUAUACA